This 358-nucleotide long non-coding RNA is filed under the name Theobroma cacao (cacao). Its description in RNAcentral is "long non-coding RNA (TCAC_LNC003373)". Lineage: Eukaryota; Viridiplantae; Streptophyta; Magnoliopsida; Malvales; Malvaceae. The record is from RNAcentral.
AGACCCGAAAAACUCGUGUCUGGCAGAGUAGUGGAACGUGCCCCCUCCAAAAGCCACAAACGAGUAUAAAGGGAGGGGGCACUGUAGCAACCUGGGGGAGGAGCCAAGAAUCAAAGAACAGACAAUCAAAAAAUUCUUAGGAAUCCCUAGCAACCCAAAAACACAAAGAACCAAAAUCAAAAGCCCUAAGUUUUCUAGCAGCCAUAACCACAAAUCCUCAACCAAAAAAUCAAAAAAUAUGUACAAUGAGAGAGGGAGAAUAGUUGGGGCUUUUGGGUGAUUUUUUGGCUCAUUUUAGGGGGAUUUUUAGUUAUUUUUUUAAGGGAGAUUUUUGGGGUUUUGUGCGGCUAUUUUGGGG